This 253-nucleotide ribosomal RNA is filed under the name uncultured bacterium. RNAcentral describes it as "partial 16S ribosomal RNA". It matches the Rfam family "Bacterial small subunit ribosomal RNA", at positions 524 to 776 of the family's 1533-position model. The record is from RNAcentral.
UACGAAGGGGGCUAGCGUUGUUCGGAAUUACUGGGCGUAAAGGGCGCGUAGGCGGUGUGUCAAGUCAGGCGUGAAAGCCCCGGGCUCAACCUGGGAACAGCGCUUGAGACUGGCACGCUCGAGUUCGGGAGAGGAUGGUGGAAUUCCCAGUGUAGAGGUGAAAUUCGUAGAUAUUGGGAAGAACACCGAUGGCGAAGGCAGCCAUCUGGACCGACACUGACGCUGAGGCGCGAAAGCGUGGGGAGCGAACAGG